Molecule: non-coding RNA, 166 nt
Filed under: pig gut metagenome
Description: Lysine riboswitch
Rfam family: Lysine riboswitch aptamer
About the family: Riboswitches are metabolite binding domains within certain messenger RNAs that serve as precision sensors for their corresponding targets.
Source: RNAcentral
UUAAUAGAGGCGCAAUACUUAUCAGUACCGAUUUCCGUAACGGAAUGAAGGAUUUCGGGAAAGGAAGUUUUGCCGAAACUUUGAAUUUUUGUCCGAAAGAUUCACUGUUGGGCUGCAAAGGAACACUUUGCAGACUGUCGCAAGGAAACUUGCGGAGAGCUAUUAC